RNAcentral lists this ribosomal RNA (632 nucleotides) under Kitasatospora sp. So1Ps_765. Its description in RNAcentral is "bacterial SSU rRNA". It matches the Rfam family "Bacterial small subunit ribosomal RNA", at positions 382 to 1024 of the family's 1533-position model. Lineage: Bacteria; Bacillati; Actinomycetota; Actinomycetes; Kitasatosporales; Streptomycetaceae. The record is from RNAcentral.
CCUGAUGCAGCGACGCCGCGUGAGGGAUGACGGCCUUCGGGUUGUAAACCUCUUUCAGCAGGGAAGAAGCGCAAGUGACGGUACCUGCAGAAGAAGCACCGGCUAACUACGUGCCAGCAGCCGCGGUAAUACGUAGGGUGCGAGCGUUGUCCGGAAUUAUUGGGCGUAAAGAGCUCGUAGGCGGCCUGUCGCGUCGGAUGUGAAAGCCCGGGGCUUAACCCCGGGUCUGCAUUCGAUACGGGCAGGCUAGAGUGUGGUAGGGGAGAUCGGAAUUCCUGGUGUAGCGGUGAAAUGCGCAGAUAUCAGGAGGAACACCGGUGGCGAAGGCGGAUCUCUGGGCCAUUACUGACGCUGAGGAGCGAAAGCGUGGGGAGCGAACAGGAUUAGAUACCCUGGUAGUCCACGCCGUAAACGUUGGGAACUAGGUGUUGGCGACAUUCCACGUCGUCGGUGCCGCAGCUAACGCAUUAAGUUCCCCGCCUGGGGAGUACGGCCGCAAGGCUAAAACUCAAAGGAAUUGACGGGGGCCCGCACAAGCAGCGGAGCAUGUGGCUUAAUUCGACGCAACGCGAAGAACCUUACCAAGGCUUGACAUAUGCCGGAAAACCAUGGAGACAUGGUCCCCCUUGUGG